RNAcentral lists this long non-coding RNA (1168 nucleotides) under Cricetulus griseus (Chinese hamster). RNAcentral describes it as "lncRNA (ENSCGRG00015041714.1)". The record is from RNAcentral. Lineage: Eukaryota; Metazoa; Chordata; Mammalia; Rodentia; Cricetidae.
GACAGUAGUAAGAUGGUAUCUCAGUGUAGGGGAAGCUGUAGCCUACUUAGGGGCUGGCUACAGGUGUGCCUGACCAUGCUUUCGAGGGCGUGGUCAGGGUGGCGUAGAGUGACUGCGUUUUCUCUUUCGGUUUCACUUUGGUACUUGCUGGACAGACUGCUGCCACGCCGGCUGGCUAGGUCGCUCUACAUAGGGAAGCGAGGGUUGUAGUCGUUUCAGUUGGGAGGCCAAAACCACUGAACAGAAAAAUAUGUUUAGAGGAGAGCAGCCAGCAAUGAGAGGAACCACAGCGAAGACCCACGGCGGCUUCUAGGUCCACAAAGCGAGGCGUUCUUUCCACCACUGUGCUGUGUUAGAAGAAUCCCGGGACCUCCAUGCUGGAGAAGUAGCCUUAUCCAGCCACGAAGUCAAUGUCAGUGCUGGAGGUGUCUGUUACUUCCUUAACCCACUGGGAAGUCAAUUCCAUGCUCUCUUAAAUCACUUGAAAAACAAUCUGAAGUCCUUAGACAGAUCUGAAACUGGCCUCUGUCACUCACAUCCCCCAACAGCAUGUCUGUCCUCUGGAGACCCACACAGGGGAAAAUGCAGAGUCCAAGAGGGCGUAGACAGAAGUAUUCAUAGCAAUUGCCAUGUUGUCCUCUUCUGGCAAAUAAUACUUCUGAUUCUCUUCAGCAUUCACGAUGCUUCCAGAUCCUCCAUUGUCAUGGCAAUCUGCCUGUGGUCACUUUCCAGACUCUCUUUUCUGCUGUGGCAGAGCCCCAGACACAGAUCCUUGGGAGAGCCGAGCUGAUGUGCUGGCAGAUGUCAGGACAAGCCCAGACCCAGAGUGGCAAAAAUCCACAUGCAGAUGUCACACCAGACAUUAGGCAUGGGGACACAUCCUUUCCCAUCGCUGAAGAUAAUCUUUAAGUGGCUGGCAAAUGCUAUGACAUAUGUACUGUGGGAACUUCAUGCUACUUAUCCAUGUAUGUAUCCCUGAAGAAUCUGAAUAUAAUUGGAAAUGAUUUCUUUUUCAUUCUGCACUGGGUGUGUAGUAAUUUCUCAAGAUCCUGUUGCUUGUCAGGAGGAAAAGUUGUGAUAAAAAGUGACUUAGUCAUUACCCUCAAGGGUAUUACACUGGAUAAUCUUCUAAGACCUACCUGGACCAGAUGGUCCUAAGCAGCUUUGG